CGUCCGAUGGCGACCGGCGCACGGGUGAGUAACGCGUAGUCCAACCUGCCCUGUACAGGGGGACAACACUUAGAAAUAGGUGCUAAUACCGCAUAACGGGGGGAGCCGCAUGGCACCCCCCUGAAAACUCCGGUGGUACAGGAUGGGCCCGCGUCUGAUUAGCCAGUUGGUGGGGUAACGGCCCACCAAAGCGACGAUCAGUAGCCGGCCUGAGAGGGUGAACGGCCACAUUGGGACUGAGACACGGCCCAAACUCCUACGGAAGGCAGCAG
This 272-nucleotide ribosomal RNA is filed under the name uncultured bacterium. RNAcentral describes it as "partial 16S ribosomal RNA". It matches the Rfam family "Bacterial small subunit ribosomal RNA", at positions 82 to 354 of the family's 1533-position model. The record is from RNAcentral.